This 402-nucleotide ribosomal RNA is filed under the name uncultured bacterium. RNAcentral's name for it is "bacterial SSU rRNA". It matches the Rfam family "Bacterial small subunit ribosomal RNA", at positions 355 to 774 of the family's 1533-position model. The record is from RNAcentral.
UGGGGAAUAUUGGACAAUGGGCGCAAGCCUGAUCCAGCCAUGCCGCGUGAGUGAUGACGGCCCUAGGGUUGUAAAGCUCUUUCGCCAGGGAUGAUAAUGACAGUACCUGGUAAAGAAGCCCCGGCUAACUUCGUGCCAGCAGCCGCGGUAAUACGAAGGGGGCUAGCGUUGUUCGGAAUUACUGGGCGUAAAGCGCACGUAGGCGGAUCGCUAAGUCAGGGGUGAAAUCCCGGGGCUCAACCUCGGAAUUGCCCUUGAUACUGGUGGUCUAGAGUCCGAGAGAGGUGAGUGGAACUCCGAGUGUAGAGGUGAAAUUCGUAGAUAUUCGGAAGAACACCAGUGGCGAAGGCGGCUCACUGGCUCGGUACUGACGCUGAGGUGCGAAAGCGUGGGGAGCAAACA